Cataglyphis hispanica is the source of this 755-nucleotide long non-coding RNA. RefSeq lists it as uncharacterized. The transcript has 2 exons. The record is from RefSeq and is a predicted model, not a curated record. NCBI's taxonomy places the organism in Eukaryota, Metazoa, Arthropoda, Insecta, Hymenoptera, Formicidae.
CAAAUACAUAUAUAAUGGUCGAUUUAGCAAUUAUAAUUAAUGAAAAAAUUGAAGAAAAGAGAAGAUUGAAGAGAAAUCUUUAAUGCGAGAGAGUCUUUAUAAUUAAGAGAAAGUGGUUAUUUUUAUAUCAAAACUUAUGUAUAUUUCAGUGGAUAAACGGAUGCUAAUGUUUAUAAAGCGCGACCCAGGAGAGUCUGAAUCACACAUGUUUGUGGAAUUCGCGCAAACUCGAGGUGCGUGAAUGGGUGCGUGCGCGUGACAGGAAUUAGGAGGUCAGUGUCAUUGGCGCUCGAAACGUUUAACGCAACAUCGGACACGACAAAUGUAUGCGCAUACCAAGAUCGAAAACUCGACGUCGAACAUGUCGGUUUACACUCCACCGUCCACUUCGCGCACGCAUACAGGCACGCCACAACAUUCUGCGUACGGAUCCAGUUUGGAAUCGAAUUACGGUAGAAUGAUCACCGACGUAAAUAAUAGCGUGAUAAUGACAUCGACCGUUGAGGGAUAUGCUAAUAAGGCACGGCGGGGAGAGAUUAAGGGUGUAGUAGCCGAUGGAGGAAGGGGAGGAGGGACGAGGGAAAGGGAGAUGCAGGCCAAUGCAUCGCCGGUUGUGAAAUACGAGAAAAUAAAGUGAGGCGAUCUGCGAUGGAGAUCCGUAUAUCGCGAUGAUCGAAAGAAUUCGCACGCCGUUAAGUCGUCCUACAAGAGGAAGAGGAAGAGGAAGAGGAGGAGGAGGAAGAGGAGGAAGAGGA